RNAcentral lists this ribosomal RNA (279 nucleotides) under uncultured bacterium. RNAcentral's name for it is "partial 16S ribosomal RNA". It matches the Rfam family "Bacterial small subunit ribosomal RNA", at positions 506 to 784 of the family's 1533-position model. The record is from RNAcentral.
UGCCAGCCGCCGCGGUAAUACGAAGGGACCUAGCGUAGUUCGGAAUUACUGGGCUUAAAGAGUUCGUAGGUGGUUGAAAAAGUUAGUGGUGAAAUCCCAGAGCUUAACUCUGGAACUGCCAUUAAAACUUUUCAGCUAGAGUAUGAUAGAGGAAAGCAGAAUUUCUAGUGUUGAGGUGAAAUUCGUAGAUAUUAGAAAGAACAUCAAAAGCGAAGGCAACUUUCUGGAUCAUUACUGACACUGAGGAACGAAAGCAUGGGUAGCGAAGAGGAUUAGAUA